This 442-nucleotide ribosomal RNA is filed under the name uncultured bacterium. RNAcentral describes it as "partial 16S ribosomal RNA". It matches the Rfam family "Bacterial small subunit ribosomal RNA", at positions 338 to 795 of the family's 1533-position model. The record is from RNAcentral.
CCUACGGGUGACUGCAGUGGGGGAUAUUGCACAAUGGGGGAAACCCUGAUGCAGCGACGCCGCGUGGGCGAAGAAGUAUUUCGGUAUGUAAAGCCCUAUCAGCAGGGAAGAAGAACUGACGGUACCUGCGUACGAAGCACCGGCUAAAUACGUGCCAGCAGCCGCGGUAAUACGUAUGGUGCAAGCGUUCUCCGGAUUUACUGGGUGUAACGGGAGCGCAGGCGGCACGGCAAGCCUGAUGUGAAAGCCCGCGGGCCAACCGCGGGACUGCAUUGGGAACUACCGGGCUGGAGUGCCGGAGAGGUAGGCGGAAUGACUAGUGUAGCGGUGAAAUGCGUAGAUAUUAGGAGGAACACCAGUGGCGAAGGCGGCUUACUGGACUGUAACUGACGUUGAGGCUCGAAAGCGUGGGGAGCAAACAGGAUUAGAUACCCUUGUAGUC